RNAcentral lists this ribosomal RNA (254 nucleotides) under uncultured bacterium. RNAcentral describes it as "partial 16S ribosomal RNA". It matches the Rfam family "Bacterial small subunit ribosomal RNA", at positions 524 to 776 of the family's 1533-position model. The record is from RNAcentral.
UACGGGGGGGGCAAGCGUUGUUCGGAAUUACUGGGCGUAAAGAGCUCGUAGGCGGCUUGGCAAGUCGGGUGUGAAAACUCCAGGCUCAACCUGGAGACGCCACCCGAUACUGCCAUGGCUAGAGUCCGGUAGGGGACCACGGAAUUCCUGGUGUAGCGGUGAAAUGCGCAGAUAUCAGGAGGAACACCGGUGGCGAAGGCGGCUCACUGGACUGGUAUUGACGCUGAGGUGCGAAAGCGUGGGGAGCAAACAGG